Molecule: small RNA, 80 nt
Filed under: bovine gut metagenome
Description: GA-cis RNA
Rfam family: GA-cis RNA
Source: RNAcentral
AGAGGAGAAACCAUUAUGCGAAGCAUAAUUCAGGAUGGUUUCGACGAAAUGCCGCCGAACGAAGGUGAGGGGGCAAUACA